RNAcentral lists this microRNA (22 nucleotides) under Lottia gigantea (owl limpet). RNAcentral's name for it is "Lgi-Mir-8_5p* (star (passenger))". Lineage: Eukaryota; Metazoa; Mollusca; Gastropoda; Lottiidae. The record is from RNAcentral.
CAUCUUACUUUACAGCAUUAGA